This 506-nucleotide ribosomal RNA is filed under the name uncultured bacterium. RNAcentral describes it as "partial 16S ribosomal RNA". It matches the Rfam family "Bacterial small subunit ribosomal RNA", at positions 29 to 523 of the family's 1533-position model. The record is from RNAcentral.
AGUGAACGCUGGCGGUAGGCCUAACACAUGCAAGUCGAACGGCAGCACAGGAGAGCUUGCUCUCUGGGUGGCGAGUGGCGGACGGGUGAGGAAUACAUCGGAAUCUACUUUUUCGUGGGGGAUAACGUAGGGAAACUUACGCUAAUACCGCAUACGACCUACGGGUGAAAGCAGGGGACCUUCGGGCCUUGCGCGAUUGAAUGAGCCGAUGUCGGAUUAGCUAGUUGGCGGGGUAAAGGCCCACCAAGGCGACGAUCCGUAGCUGGUCUGAGAGGAUGAUCAGCCACACUGGAACUGAGACACGGUCCAGACUCCUACGGGAGGCAGCAGUGGGGAAUAUUGGACAAUGGGCGCAAGCCUGAUCCAGCCAUACCGCGUGGGUGAAGAAGGCCUUCGGGUUGUAAAGCUCUUUUGUUGGGAAAGAAAUCCAGCUGGCUAAUACCCGGUUGGGAUGACGGUACCCAAAGAAUAAGCACCGGCUAACUUCGUGCCAGCAGCCGCGGUAA